GUGAAUCAUCAAAUUUUUGAACGCAAAUUGCACUCUCUGGUAUUACGGAGAGUAUGUCUGUUUGAGGGUCAGUAUAAAUAAAAAUUGAGGUGUUGCCUAUGGUGACGGCCUCGGAAUUGGGUAAUCUAUAUUCUUUAUAUAGGUUUAAAGUGACAUAAACUUGAUGAUACCUUGUGCAUCUCUAGACGUACAUAAGAUUCUUUUUUUAUCUGUCGGGUUUU
Molecule: unclassified non-coding RNA, 221 nt
Filed under: Glomeromycetes sp.
Lineage: Eukaryota; Fungi; Glomeromycota; Glomeromycetes
Description: partial contains 5.8S ribosomal RNA and internal transcribed spacer 2
Rfam family: 5.8S ribosomal RNA (bases 1-71)
Source: RNAcentral